UAGGGAAUCUUCCACAAUGGACGCAAGUCUGAUGGAGCAACGCCGCGUGAGCGAAGAAGGUUUUCGGAUCGUAAAGCUCUGUUGUUGGUGAAGAAGGAUAGAGGCAGUAACUGGUCUUUAUUUGACGGUAAUCAACCAGAAAGUCACGGCUAACUACGUGCCAGCAGCCGCGGUAAUACGUAGGUGGCAAGCGUUGUCCGGAUUUAUUGGGCGUAAAGCGAGCGCAGGCGGAAUGAUAAGUCUGAUGUGAAAGCCCACGGCUCAACCGUGGAACUGCAUCGGAAACUGUCAUUCUUGAGUGCAGAAGAGGAGAGUGGAACUCCAUGUGUAGCGGUGGAAUGCGUAGAUAUAUGGAAGAACACCAGUGGCGAAGGCGGCUCUCUGGUCUGCAACUGACGCUGAGGCUCGAAAGCAUGGGUAGCGAACAGGAUUAGAUACCCUGGUAGUCCAUGCCGUAAACGAUGAGCGCUAGGUGUUGGGGACUUUCCGGUCCUCAGUGCCGCAGCAAACGCAUUAAGCGCUCCGCCUGGGGAGUACGACCGCAAGGUUGAAAC
RNAcentral lists this ribosomal RNA (554 nucleotides) under uncultured bacterium. RNAcentral describes it as "partial 16S ribosomal RNA". It matches the Rfam family "Bacterial small subunit ribosomal RNA", at positions 355 to 900 of the family's 1533-position model. The record is from RNAcentral.